Non-coding RNA from Labrus bergylta (ballan wrasse), 524 nucleotides. NCBI's taxonomy places the organism in Eukaryota, Metazoa, Chordata, Actinopteri, Labriformes, Labridae. The record is from the annotation of a RefSeq genome assembly.
AUGUUUUCUGUAGCUCUGCUGCUGCUGCUGGCAGCUGGAUGUGUGAAGUGUGAACAGUUGACACAGCCAGCCUCUGUGACUGUGCAGCCAGGUCAGCGUCUGACCAUCACCUGUCAGGUCUCUUAUUCUGUUAGCAGCUACUGGACAGCCUGGAUCAGACAGCCUGCAGGGAAAGGACUGGAGUGGAUCGGUAGCGGAUAUCAAUCCUACAGAUACUACAAAGAUUCACUGAAGAACCAGUUCAGUAUCGACUUAGACUCUUCCAGAAAAAUAGCGACUCUAAACGGACUGAAUAUGCAGCCUGCAGACACUGCAGUGUAUUACUGUGCCAGAGACCCACAGUGACACAACCCAUCAGUAGAGCUGAACAAAAACUACUUCCUCUUUUUACUACCAUCACAAUAUUUCAUGUGAUUCACAAUCAACUAUGAAAAUUUUGAGUGUUGAACAAAUACUUAUCAAGUCAUCAACUUCAUUUGUUUUUUUAAAACACAGUUUCUCAAUAAAUGGAAGUUUAAGUUUUA